RNAcentral lists this ribosomal RNA (446 nucleotides) under uncultured bacterium. Its description in RNAcentral is "bacterial SSU rRNA". It matches the Rfam family "Bacterial small subunit ribosomal RNA", at positions 91 to 518 of the family's 1533-position model. The record is from RNAcentral.
UAGAGCGGCGGACGGGUGAGGUAACACGUGGACAAUACUGCCCCCCGGCCCGGGACUAGCCCAGGGAAACCUGGAUUAAUACCGGAUGAGACGGGACCUGCGAUGGCGGGAUCCCGGGAAAGGCGCUACGGCGCCGCCGGGGGAUGAGUCUGCGUCCCAUUAGCUAGACGGCGGGGUAACGGCCCACCGUGGCGACGAUGGGUAGCCGGCCUGAGAGGGUGGACGGCCACAUUGGAACUGAGACACGGUCCAGACUCCUACGGGAGGCAGCAGCUAAGAAUCUUCCGCAAUGGGCGAAAGCCUGACGGAGCGAACCGCCGCGUGAACGAAGAAGGCCGUGAGGUUGUAAAGUUCUUUUCGGGAGGGGGAACAACCGUGGCAGGGAAUGGCCGCGGGAUGACGUGAAUCCCGGAAUAAGCCCCGGCUAACUACGUGCCAGCCGCCGC